This 352-nucleotide transfer-messenger RNA is filed under the name SAR86 cluster bacterium. It matches the Rfam family "transfer-messenger RNA". Rfam says of the family: Bacterial tmRNA, also known as 10Sa RNA or SsrA, is named for its dual tRNA and mRNA-like properties. Its role is to liberate the mRNA from a stalled ribosome. The record is from RNAcentral. Lineage: Bacteria; Pseudomonadati; Pseudomonadota; Gammaproteobacteria.
GGGGGUGAAAUGGAUUAGACAUCUGUUUUUGAACUAAAAGUGCAUGUCGAGCAGGUAACAAUCUCGUAAAAAAAGUUGCAAAACAAUUAGUUGGCAAUAAAGCAAACUACGCUCUAGCUGCUUAAUUAAGCUAGCUUUCUUUACCUGAUAUCUAUUAAGGUAAAAGAAAGUCGAUUAAUAGAUUGCUCAAAAAAAUAUUUCUGUGAUUUUUUUGAAAAGCUUUUAACAGAAUACUUUUUGAUUAUCCUGCUCAUCGGAGAAUUAAAAAAGGAAUUUAAAAGAUGAAACUAAACAUGUAGAGCUGAUAGGGAUAGAUUGAUGGACGCGGGUUCGAUACCCGCCACCUCCACCA